AUUUUUUUUUGGUGAGUGAGAUUGUUGCUGGCCUUUGGGUAUGUGCACAUCCUCCUCCGAUUUCUAUUCAUCCACCUGUGCACUUUUUGUAGGAGUUCUUUCAUCGGGUUUUUGAAGGGUGCUCAUUAUGAGUUACUUGAAAAGACUAGUUGACAAGGCUUCUAUGUUCUUAUAAACCAUUGAAGUAUGUUAUAGAAUGAUCUUGUUAUUGGGACUUUAUUGACCCUUUAAACUUAAUACAACUUUCAGCAACGGAUCUCUUGGCUCUCCCAUCGAUGAAGAACGCAGCGAAAUGCGAUAAGUAAUGUGAAUUGCAGAAUUCAGUGAAUCAUCGAAUCUUUGAACGCACCUUGCGCCCUCUGGUAUUCCGGAGGGCAUGCCUGUUUGAGUGUCAUUAAAUUCUCAACUUUAUAAGUUUUUACUUAUCAAAGCUUGGAUGUUGGAGGCUUGCAGGCGUUUGUCAGCUCCUCUUAAAUUGAUUAGUGGGAACCCUGUUUUGUUAGUUCUAACCUUGGUGUGAUAAUUAUCUACAUUUUGGUGGAACCUUACAAUAAUAAAGCUCUAUUGGUUUGGGUUGUUGCAUUUAGUUUGCUCAAUCUGUUCUAUUCAUUGGAGCACAAGGGAAGUCCCGCUUUCUAACUGUCUUGAUUGACUAUAUAUAACUUAUUUGCUUGACCUCAAAUCAGGUAGGAUUACCCGCUGAAC
This 705-nucleotide ribosomal RNA is filed under the name Lentinula edodes (shiitake mushroom). RNAcentral describes it as "eukaryotic LSU rRNA". The stretch from base 241 to 394 matches the Rfam family "5.8S ribosomal RNA". Lineage: Eukaryota; Fungi; Basidiomycota; Agaricomycetes; Agaricales; Omphalotaceae. The record is from RNAcentral.